UAGGGAAUCUUCCGCAAUGGGCGAAAGCCUGACGGAGCAACGCCGCGUGAGUGAUGAAGGUCUUCGGAUCGUAAAACUCUGUUAUUAGGGAAGAACAAAUGUGUAAGUAACUAUGCACGUCUUGACGGUACCUAAUCAGAAAGCCACGGCUAACUACGUGCCAGCAGCCGCGGUAAUACGUAGGUGGCAAGCGUUAUCCGGAAUUAUUGGGCGUAAAGCGCGCGUAGGCGGUUUUUUAAGUCUGAUGUGAAAGCCCACGGCUCAACCGUGGAGGGUCAUUGGAAACUGGAAAACUUGAGUGCAGAAGAGGAAAGUGGAAUUCCUAGUGUAGCGGUGAAAUGCGCAGAUAUUAGGAGGAAUACCGGUGGCGAAGGCGACUUUCUGGCCAUAAUCUGACGCUGAGGCUCGAAAGCGUGGGUAGCAAACAGG
Molecule: ribosomal RNA, 429 nt
Filed under: Bacteroidota bacterium
Lineage: Bacteria; Pseudomonadati; Bacteroidota
Description: Bacteroidetes bacterium partial 16S ribosomal RNA
Rfam family: Bacterial small subunit ribosomal RNA
Source: RNAcentral